RNAcentral lists this ribosomal RNA (301 nucleotides) under uncultured bacterium. RNAcentral describes it as "partial 16S ribosomal RNA". It matches the Rfam family "Bacterial small subunit ribosomal RNA", at positions 509 to 809 of the family's 1533-position model. The record is from RNAcentral.
CAGUAGCCGCGGGAAUACGAAGGGGGCUAGCGUUGUUCGGAAUUACUGGGCGUAAAGCGCACGUAGGCGGAUUUUUAAGUCAGGGGUGAAAUCCCGAGGCUCAACCUCGGAACUGCCUUUGAUACUGGAGAUCUUGAGUUCGGAAGAGGUUGGUGGAACAGCUAGUGUAGAGGUGAAAUUCGUAGAUAUUAGCUAGAACACCAGUGGCGAAGGCGGCCAACUGGCCCGAUACUGACGCUGAGGUGCGAAAGCGUGGGGAGCAAACAGGAUUAGAUACCCCAGUAGUCCCUGUCUCUUAUAA